This 395-nucleotide unclassified non-coding RNA is filed under the name soil metagenome. RNAcentral describes it as "partial contains 5.8S ribosomal RNA, internal transcribed spacer 2, and large subunit ribosomal RNA". The stretch from base 1 to 121 matches the Rfam family "5.8S ribosomal RNA", at positions 35 to 154 of the family's 154-position model. The record is from RNAcentral.
GAUGAAGAACGUAGCGAACGUGCGAAACGUAAUGUGAAUUGCAGAAUUCAGUGAAUCAUCGAAUCUUUGAACGCAUCUUGCGCUCCUUGGUAUUCCGAGGAGCAUGCCUGUUUGAGUGUCGUGAAUACUCUCAACUUCAACCCUUUUUUCGGAAAGGGAGGAAGGCUGGACUUGGGUGUUUGUUGAAGUGCGAGCUUCGACUCAUCCUAAAUGCAUUAGCGAUCUGCCUCGAUCACACACAAUGUGAUAAUUAAAACUAAAGCAUUGUUUAAUGAUCAAGUCGAGACUGCUUCUAACUGUCGCAAGACAAUAACGUGCAUACAUUUGUGCAUGUCAUUUGACCUCAAAUCAGGUAGGACUACCCGCUGAACUUAAGCAUAUCAAUAAGCGGAGGA